UGAAUACCUUUUAUUUAUUGUGCCGUGA
This 28-nucleotide non-coding RNA is filed under the name Bombyx mori (domestic silkworm). Lineage: Eukaryota; Metazoa; Arthropoda; Insecta; Lepidoptera; Bombycidae. The record is from RNAcentral.